CCUACGGGAGGCAGCAGUGAGGGAUAUUGCGCAAUGGGCGAAAGCCUGACGCAGCGACGCCGCGUGGGCGAGGAAGGCCUUCGGGUUGUAAAGCCCUUUUGGCAGGGAAGAGCAAGGACUGUACCUGCAGAACAAGUCACGGCUAACUCCGUGCCAGCAGCCGCGGUAAUACGGAGGGUGCGAGCGUUGUUCGGAAUUAUUGGGCGUAAAGCGCGUGUAGGCGGUUUGUUAAGUCUGAGGUGAAAGCCCCGGGCUCAACCUGGGAAGUGCAUUGGAUACUGGCAGACUUGAGUACGGGAGAGGAGAGUGGAAUUCCCAGUGUAGGAGUGAAAUCCGUAGAUAUUGGGAGGAACACCGGUGGCGAGGGCGGCUCUCUGGGCCGAUACUGACGCUGAGACGCGAAAGCGUGGGGAGCAAACAGGAUUAGAUACCCUGGUAGU
RNAcentral lists this ribosomal RNA (440 nucleotides) under uncultured Geobacteraceae bacterium. Its description in RNAcentral is "partial 16S ribosomal RNA". It matches the Rfam family "Bacterial small subunit ribosomal RNA", at positions 338 to 794 of the family's 1533-position model. The record is from RNAcentral. Lineage: Bacteria; Pseudomonadati; Thermodesulfobacteriota; Desulfuromonadia; Geobacterales; Geobacteraceae.